RNAcentral lists this microRNA precursor (102 nucleotides) under Marmota monax (woodchuck). Lineage: Eukaryota; Metazoa; Chordata; Mammalia; Rodentia; Sciuridae. The record is from RNAcentral.
UGUGGGAUAGCUGGGUUAAAUGGUGUUUGCAUUCCAAGUUUUCUAAGGAAUAUCAUACUGCUUUCCAGAUUGGUUGCACCAAUUUACAGUCCCACCAGCAAU